This 836-nucleotide long non-coding RNA is filed under the name Oryza sativa Indica Group (long-grained rice). Its description in RNAcentral is "lncRNA OsLima_09g0012550". The record is from RNAcentral. Lineage: Eukaryota; Viridiplantae; Streptophyta; Magnoliopsida; Poales; Poaceae.
GACCCCGGCCUCAUUGUCGGUGGAUCCGGCCGCCCGGAGGCGAGGGGAGACCGGCUAUCACCCUCUCUACUCUUCUCCUUCUACGUCCGGCACCGCUACAACGACGGCCGCGCGGAUCGCGUGAGGCAACGGAUCGGCGGAGGCCUGCAACAACAACGGCCGCGCGGGCGAGCAAUCGAGGAGGCCGGGAAUCACCAGAUCCGGAAGGACGGCGGCCCGAUUCGGAGAGGGAGCAACCCGAUCUGUGUCAUUGAGGCUCAUUGUAAGUGUCGACGGCGGCCGUUCCUUCACAGUGAUCCAGGGUCGUUGGGUCUGUUGAGCUCGGUAUCGACGGCAGCAGUAGCUCGGGCAAGAUGGAAGAAACGUGUUAGACACGGCCUCCUCCGAGAGCAUACACCAGCGACGUGCAGGAGGCCGAGGCCAAAGCCGAUCUUCCCCAACCCCAUCUGGCAUUAUAACUUCGAGAAGGUCAGCCUGAUGGUGCAGAACUCUGGCUUGAGGAAGACAUGCUUCAGUGUUUCUCCAUGCACCGACAACACUAUCAUCCUGCCACCACAACACACAAAUCUGGCGAUGCUUCCACCUGCAUCUGCAUGCCCCUGGCUCCCUGCAUACAAGAUUUUAUGGCAGGAAAGCUCCCAUAAGCUUCUUGGGAGGUUAGACUGCAGCAGUAAUGAAAGGUGCUGAUGAUGGAUCAUUUAGGAUAUUGUGUGCUUUGCCAGCGUUUCAGGUCCGGAUGCGGCAUCCACGUGGGCAGGCCGUUACCAUGAAGAUCAUGCCAUCGGAUUAGUUGUCCAUGUGCAUAGAUCAAAGAAAAAAAGAAGGUACAGAUGGCA